Molecule: long non-coding RNA, 929 nt
Organism: Triticum dicoccoides
Lineage: Eukaryota; Viridiplantae; Streptophyta; Magnoliopsida; Poales; Poaceae
Exons: 3
Source: RefSeq, a predicted model, not a curated record
GAUAGCGCGCUAUAGCGGCGCUACACGCAUCUUGACUGUGGUGCGCUACGCGAAGCUCGAUUUCACGUACGAAGAGUUAGCGUGCUAAUAGCGCGCUAGAUGUCAUUUAGCGCUGAAAAUUGGGCCUCUAGCGUUAGCGUCCCGCGUCUCUGACCUAAAAUUUUCGGCCCAAAAUGAAAUCGCUACGCGGGCUAAAGCCCAAGCCUACCAAUAGCGAAUACUAUGCCCCCAACCCUCCUCUCGAGCGAAACCCUAUCCCCACUCCCGUCCUCAUCUCAAACAGGAACCAUGGCGGCGGCCGACCAACGACCAACCAUGGCGACGGCCUCGAGCUGCCACUCCGGCGACUGACCUUCCUCACCACUCCCUCCCAGCGACGGGGUAUUCCUUCCACCAGGCGACGCAGCUCCCGGACGUUUCCUCUCGGCUGCUCCCUCCUGGCCACUUCCUCUGCUGACGGCGACGACCGCAUCCACAAGGCGACGGAGCACCCCGCGGCGACGGUGUCCACCAGGCGACCAUGAGCCAGCAAAUCCCGUCAGCAGGUGUUGGUGGCUCAAGCACUGCCUCAGUAGCAGCACCUGCACUCCCUCAAGUUGAUUCGGAUGACCCUGCGUGGAAGUAUUGCACUCUUCCAGAUGUGAACAAGAAGCAUUGGCAGUUGGAUUUCCACAUCAAUUUGAAGGGGCAGGCGUUGCUCGAAGGCUGAUAAUGGCACAUUAUAUCUUCUUAGUAGUGUACUUUGAUGUUCAUUAUAUGUGAGUAAAGAAUAAUAUAUCAAAAGAGGCUUGAUUAUUUUUGAAAAAAAAGAGCAUUCCAAUUGCUCUUUGAGAAAGAAAAAUGAAAUGUGCGGCUGUAAUCUGCUGCCAGUGAUGUGUUUCUUUUUUGGGAAAAAGAGGGCAUUCGGAUUGCGUAUUGUGAGAAAGGAA